RNAcentral lists this long non-coding RNA (230 nucleotides) under Elaeis guineensis (African oil palm). RNAcentral describes it as "long non-coding RNA (EGUI_LNC011441)". The record is from RNAcentral. Lineage: Eukaryota; Viridiplantae; Streptophyta; Magnoliopsida; Arecales; Arecaceae.
CGUUGAGCUCCUUAUUUUUUUUUACUGUUGUCUAGUCUCCUCUCUGACUUGACCGUCGGAGGGUCCCCGCCGGAGCCACCUCCGAUCAGUGCGGACUUUUUUUUGCAGGCGUUCGCUCCCGGUGACGAGGCGACGAGGGGAUUGGCCGCAACACUUUGACAUCUAUGCACGCAUCAUUCCCUUCCUCUCCGGUUGCCUCAUCUUCUCUUUACGGCUUCACAUUGUCAACG